This 578-nucleotide ribosomal RNA is filed under the name Penicillium brevicompactum. RNAcentral's name for it is "eukaryotic LSU rRNA". The stretch from base 214 to 367 matches the Rfam family "5.8S ribosomal RNA". Lineage: Eukaryota; Fungi; Ascomycota; Eurotiomycetes; Eurotiales; Aspergillaceae. The record is from RNAcentral.
ACUGUCAGGCUUCCGUAGGUGACCUGCGGAAGGAUCAUUACCGAGUGAGGGCCCUCUGGGUCCAACCUCCCACCCGUGUUUAUUUACCUUGUUGCUUCGGCGAGCCUGCCUUUUGGCUGCCGGGGGACGUCAGUCCCCGGGUCCGUGCUCGCCGGAGACACCUUAGAACUCUGUCUGAAGAUUGUAGUCUGAGAUUAAAUAUAAAUUAUUUAAAACUUUCAACAACGGAUCUCUUGGUUCCGGCAUCGAUGAAGAACGCAGCGAAAUGCGAUACGUAAUGUGAAUUGCAGAAUUCAGUGAAUCAUCGAGUCUUUGAACGCACAUUGCGCCCUCUGGUAUUCCGGAGGGCAUGCCUGUCCGAGCGUCAUUGCUGCCCUCAAGCACGGCUUGUGUGUUGGGCCCCGUCCUCCUUCCGGGGGACGGGUCCGAAAGGCAGCGGCGGCACCGCGUCCGGUCCUCAAGCGUAUGGGGCUUUGUCACUCGCUUUGUAGGCCUGGCCGGCGCUUGCCGAUCAACCAAACUUUUUAUCAGGUUGACCUCGGAUCAGGUAGGGAUACCCGCUGAACUUAAGCAUACUA